AGGAAGGUGGGGAUGACGUCAAAUCAGCACGGCCCUUACGUCCGGGGCUACACACGUGUUACAAUGGGGGGUACAGAGGGCCGCUACCACGCGAGUGGAUGCCAAUCCCCAAAACCUCUCUCAGUUCGGACUGGAGUCUGCAACCCGACUCCACGAAGCUGGAUUCGCUAGUAAUCGCGCAUCAGCCACGGCGCGGUGAAUACGUUCCCGGGCCUUGUACACACCGCCCGUCAAGCCAUGGGAGCCGGGGGUACCUGAAGUGCGUAACCGCGAGGAGCGCCCUAGGGUAAAACUGGUGACUGGGGCUAAGUCGUAACAAGGUAGCCGUACCGGAAGGUGCGGCUGGAACACCUCCUUUCUGGAG
RNAcentral lists this ribosomal RNA (364 nucleotides) under Bacteroides ovatus. Its description in RNAcentral is "bacterial SSU rRNA". It matches the Rfam family "Bacterial small subunit ribosomal RNA", at positions 1167 to 1533 of the family's 1533-position model. The record is from RNAcentral. Lineage: Bacteria; Pseudomonadati; Bacteroidota; Bacteroidia; Bacteroidales; Bacteroidaceae.